GUAUUGUUUCCUACACAUUCAAUACGGUAUCCAUACCACGGGUAGCAUGCAAAGUCAUGGAGCUUUUUCUGAAACUAGUUCCACGAUAUUGUUGCGCCCCCGAAACUUAGAGACGGGGCCAAGCUUUCGUCUGUGUCCAGCGGCCAGCGCAGAAGUACCAUCCAACACGACCUUGAACUUUCUUGAACCAGAAAAUGGCGACCAGGAAGUGAUUUUGGGAAGUGAUCGUGAUGGUUUGCUGUUUUAUAAGCAAAAUGUGAAAUGUCAUGGGAUACCUUAUCAGCCCGUGGAUACAUAAGGUCUUGCUUGCUGGCCGCAGUUUGACCCAACAGCCACACAGAGGGAGAGAUGCAGUCACAGUGUGGCGGGGACAGACCAGUGCCAUCCAACCUGGACAUGGUGACCAGUGAGAAGUCUUCAGCACUCAUCCUGGUGACAGUCCUGGGUAUAUGGGUCGGAGAGGCACUUUCUGAUUCUUCAGAUUGAAAGGUGAAGAACACUGCCACAUCCAAGGGAGAUAAUCCACUUUCAACACACCUGCCAAUCAAGCUCCUUCAGUAACCUAUGCUGUCUAGUGAUCACACCCAAGCCCUAGUCGAAGUUUCCAUAUUGACUUUGCCGGACUCUUGCAGUUGACACGAUGGACAGCACUGUGGGCUCUACCAUGGAAGUUACGAGCAAAGGUUGUAUUCCGAAGUUGUAUCCCAAGGUUGUAUCACGAGGUUGUAUCCCGAAGUUGUAUCACAAGGUUGUAUCCCGAGGUUGUAUCACGAGGUUGUAUCCCGAAGUUGUAUCCAGAGGUUGUAUCACGAGGUUGUAUCUCGAGGUUGUAUCACGAGGUUGUAUCCCGAGGUUGUAUCCCGAAGUUGUAUCCCGAGGUUGUAUCACGAGGUUGUAUCAUGAGGUUGUAUCCAGAGGUUGUAUCCAGAGGUUGUAUCCAGAGGUAAUGACCGGCGCAAUGCCUUGUUGGUUGCUUCACACUGUUGACUGUGGGGGUUGAUUUGUGUCUUUUCAAUCAGUUUAGGGCCGAGACGAAAGUCAGUGCAUUUUCUCAAAUUUUCAAAGUUACUUUCAUUGUGACUAAGUUUGAAGUUUUUAUCUAAAUACUUACUGUGCAACAACAAUUUUUGCUGCUUUCUGCGUUUUGUGUGAUGCCCCAUUUACAUUUUGCAUCAUCAUCACAAGUCUUUGAGAGAGAUUUCUUCAGCCUUGGCAGGUCACGUGCAUUUAGAAUUUUUAAUAAACUUUCUGUUGCUGGCCUGUAUCAAGGCUGGCCUGUUUGAUGCCGUGUAUCAAGAAAUGUUUGUGGGCAAACAUCCAUUUCACCUGCUUCAUAAAUUUCAGUGUGAGCUAGGUUUUGUGUUUAAAGCCAAAAUUUGGUGGUCACUAGUCUGGAUCUCAGUGACCGCCUCCGUGGUCUAGUGGUAGAGCGUCCGCCCGGAGAGCGGAAGGUCUGGGGUUUGAUCCCCGGCCACGUCAUACCAAAAGACGUUAAG
This is a long non-coding RNA of Haliotis rufescens (red abalone), 1496 nucleotides long. RefSeq lists it as uncharacterized. The record is from RefSeq and is a predicted model, not a curated record. NCBI's taxonomy places the organism in Eukaryota, Metazoa, Mollusca, Gastropoda, Lepetellida, Haliotidae. The transcript is spliced from 4 exons.